AUGCUCGAGGUCGACGCCACGUGCAAUAUCUGCGGCAAUGGGGUAGAGGAUGAACAUCAUGCGGUGAUCACAUGCUCGAAGAGCAGGGCCCUCCGAGAAGCCAUGAGGAAGGAGUGGGCUCUACCCUCAGAGAAGUCUUUUAGAAACACAGGAACUGACUGGCUGCAGGUCCUGCUAGACAAAGGACCUGAGGAAAUGCGAUCAAAAAUCUUACUCCUGCUGUGGAGGUGUUGGCACUUGAGAGAGGACACCCUGAGACACAACGGCAAAGAAUCUAUUUUGAGUUCUGUACAAUUCCUAAAGAAAUAUGCAGAGGAGUUGGUUUCAGUGGCAAUGGCUGAUAAUGUGCCCAGGGAUGGAGAUGAUGAUAGAACAUGCUGCCCACAAGGACAAAGCAUGCAGUGGACGGGACCAGCACGAGGCGUCGUUAAGGUGAAUACUGACGCAGCUUUUCAAGCCGAUACAGGUGUAUCCACGGCCGAAGCAGUCGCAAGGGAUAGCAAAGGCCAUGUGCUCGUCUCAGUAUGCAGAAGCCUGUCAGCUAGCCGAUGCGUCGAGGAGGCCGAAGCGAAAGCUUCACUUACAGGGCUGCUCACUCUAGCAAAGUCCUACAGAGGGCCUCUGAUUCUGGGAAUGGACUGCCAUGCAAUCAUAAAAGAGCUAGGCGUAAGGGCGGCCUCGGUCUCAAUGCUAUGCUUUGAUCAGGGAUAUUAA
RNAcentral lists this ribosomal RNA (714 nucleotides) under Triticum aestivum (bread wheat). RNAcentral describes it as "partial small subunit ribosomal RNA". The record is from RNAcentral. Lineage: Eukaryota; Viridiplantae; Streptophyta; Magnoliopsida; Poales; Poaceae.